GAUGAACGCUGGCGGCGUGCCUAAUACAUGCAAGUCGAGUGAACGGACGAGAAGCUUGCUUCUCUGAUGUUAGCGGCGGACGGGUGAGUAACACGUGGAUAACCUACCUAUAAGACUGGGAUAACUUCGGGAAACCGGAGCUAAUACCGGAUAAUAUUUUGAACCGCAUGGUUCAAAAGUGAAAGACGGUCUUGCUGUCACUUAUAGAUGGAUCCGCGCUGCAUUAGCUAGUUGGUAAGGUAACGGCUUACCAAGGCAACGAUGCAUAGCCGACCUGAGAGGGUGAUCGGCCACACUGGAACUGAGACACGGUCCAGACUCCUACGGGAGGCAGCAGUAGGGAAUCUUCCGCAAUGGGCGAAAGCCUGACGGAGCAACGCCGCGUGAGUGAUGAAGGUCUUCGGAUCGUAAAACUCUGUUAUUAGGGAAGAACAUAUGUGUAAGUAACUGCGCACAUCUUGACGGUACCUAAUCAGAAAGCCACGGCUAACUACGUG
Molecule: ribosomal RNA, 497 nt
Filed under: uncultured bacterium
Lineage: Bacteria
Description: partial 16S ribosomal RNA
Rfam family: Bacterial small subunit ribosomal RNA
Source: RNAcentral